UAACACAUGCAAGUCGAACGGUAACAGGAAGCAGCUUGCUGCUUCGCUGACGAGUGGCGGACGGGUGAGUAAUGUCUGGGAAACUGCCUGAUGGAGGGGGAUAACUACUGGAAACGGUAGCUAAUACCGCAUAACGUCGCAAGACCAAAGAGGGGGACCUUCGGGCCUCUUGCCAUCGGAUGUGCCCAGAUGGGAUUAGCUAGUAGGUGGGGUAACGGCUCACCUAGGCGACGAUCCCUAGCUGGUCUGAGAGGAUGACCAGCCACACUGGAACUGAGACACGGUCCAGACUCCUACGGGAGGCAGCAGUGGGGAAUAUUGCACAAUGAGCGCAAGCCUGAUGCAGCCAUGCCGCGUGUAUGAAGAAGGCCUUCGGGUUGUAAAGUACUUUCAGCGGGGAGGAAGGCGAUAAGGUUAAUAACCUCAGCAAUUGACGUUACCCGCAGAAGAAGCACCGGCUAACUCCGUGCCAGCAGCCGCGGUAAUACGGAGGGUGCAAGCGUUAAUCGGAAUUACUGGGCGUAAA
Molecule: ribosomal RNA, 526 nt
Filed under: Sphingomonas sanguinis
Lineage: Bacteria; Pseudomonadati; Pseudomonadota; Alphaproteobacteria; Sphingomonadales; Sphingomonadaceae
Description: bacterial SSU rRNA
Rfam family: Bacterial small subunit ribosomal RNA
Source: RNAcentral